RNAcentral lists this unclassified non-coding RNA (240 nucleotides) under soil metagenome. RNAcentral describes it as "partial contains 5.8S ribosomal RNA, internal transcribed spacer 2, and large subunit ribosomal RNA". The record is from RNAcentral.
AACUGAUACUACCUGCGGGAACCUGCGGAAGGAUCAUUAAAGAGAAAACUGCCCUUUGGGUAGAUCUCCCACCCUUUGUUUAUAUUACCUUUGUUGCUUUGGCAGGCCCGUCUCUGACCACCGGCUCUUUGGCUGGUCUGUGCCUGCCAAGAGACCUCCAACUCUUGAUUUGAAGUUGUCUGAGUCUUAUAUAAUAGUAAAAACUUUCAGCAACGGAUCUCUAGAUCGGAAGAGCACACG